GCUCCAGUGGCUUAGUGGUUAUUGCGUCCGCCUUGGAUGCGGGAGGUCAUUGGUUCGAUACCUGGUCGAGUCA
Non-coding RNA from Potamilus streckersoni, 73 nucleotides. The record is from the annotation of a GenBank genome assembly. Lineage: Eukaryota; Metazoa; Mollusca; Bivalvia; Unionida; Unionidae.